AAGGCAAUUCACCUGUGCUGCCAGAAGGGUGGAGCCAGAAUCCACCCCUCCUAGACCUAUUUAAGAGCUGGCUACCAGUGGGGAAGGAUCUGUUCUGGAGAUUGCCUUUGCUGGUGUUUUGUGUACGAGCCCAGGAUAUGGUGUAAAUGCAGAGCUAUGUGGGUAUGGAAGCAGGGAACACCUUGCUGCUCUCCCUCUUGGUUUGGAAAACAACAGGAGUGAUCACGGCAACACAGCAGAGCAGGAGUAAACAAGAUCUUACAUGAAGAUCUCUCAAUCAGACUACGUUUCUCAUGAGACAUCAUACAGCACUCCAGCCAAGGAUGGAGUCCACACUUAAUCCUUGCAGUAUGGCAGGACAGUGCAGCACCAUCUCAUAAUGGAUAGGUCUAGUUUAAAACUGCAAUUUUAAGUACUUUUUAAAAUUUGUUUUGGGAAAAGGAUCAUGUGUGUGUAUAUGAAUGCCAGGUCUACUGGCUAUUGAAAACUGUACUCUUUACUCAGGAUGCAUAGAUUUGAUUAUACAAUCCUGCUGGAACAGUUUUUGAAUCAAUAUCAGUAUUAUUCACUUAAUGAAUGUUAAAAAAGAAAGGAAGAAAGAGAACUGAUGUUUCUAAACAGCUCUAUUAUCAGCUACUAAGAGGAACAACCACCUUUUUAUUUAAAAGAAUGGUUGUUUGGGGAUAUGAUUAUUUGUAGAGCACUGGGAUAUAGGAGGGAGAAUUUAGUUAAACUGAGUGCAUAAAAUCAUGGUGUGUUCCUUGAUAUCACCUCACAGACUGGUUUAUUUCCAGUGUCAACUUCACUGUUUUGUAAUCUGUAUGCAUAGUGAAUAAACUCUACACCUAAGGACUUCGACUUGAUGAUCCUUA
This is a long non-coding RNA of Lagopus muta (rock ptarmigan), 872 nucleotides long. RefSeq lists it as uncharacterized. The record is from RefSeq and is a predicted model, not a curated record. The transcript is spliced from 3 exons. NCBI's taxonomy places the organism in Eukaryota, Metazoa, Chordata, Aves, Galliformes, Phasianidae.